UUUGCAGCCACUAAUUCAAUAGUUCUAGCAAGAACUAGGUUAAACAUCAUUAACCCAGACACAUUCAAGCCCUAAAAUUCAAGACCCAUCAAAUACCCACACUAGAGUUGGAUCACAACCCUAGCUAUGGGAUCCAACCCUAGCUAUGUGUUUAGCUACUCAUGAAAAUAGCAGAAAUCAAAGAUAAAGAGAAGAUAAAAUCCAUAAUGCUAAAUUAAAAGAUGAAAAUCUAAAGUUAUAAGGUAAAUCUUGUACAAAAUUGCCCAAAUAGGUAAAACUAGUCAUCUCACAUUCUCAACAAAAUAUAACAUAACCUAAAAAUGUGAAAAAGAUCUAUUUAUACCAGGUUGAAAUUCCAGGACAAAAAAGACCCUACUGAAGUUUCGCGGCCGCGUAAUUCUGACCGCGGCCACACUCUUGCUUUCGCGGCCGCGUAAUAUAAGGCACGGUCCGCGUUUCUUUACAUUUGAUACUAGGCUAGAACUUGUUUCGCGAAGCGCAUAAUUUUCACCGCAUCCGCGUGAGAACCUUCCACGGCUACAUAAUUUUGAUGCGGCCUGCGCUUAACAUUUUUGCCUUUUUAGUAAGCUCUCUGAACUUUAGCAAACGCGAUCAGCAAAAUUCCAAUCGCGGUCGCUAUAGUAUUUUUGCGUGUCUGUGCCCAAAAUUCACCUCUAAUUCUCCUUCUCGCGGUCCGUGAACUCAUGACUGCAUCCGCGGUGACACUUUCGCGGCCGCACUUUUCUGUCGUGGUCUGCAUUUUACAAUCUUGACCUAGUCUUGAUCUUUGUUCCUGUUUUGACUCCUUUAUGAGUUGAUCGUGGUCACUUUGGCUCAUUGUGAACAAUCCCUGCAAGCAGGCAUAUUAUGUUAGUUUUCGGGAAUACCUUACUCAUUUAGCCCCAAAACGCAAGUAAAAAGAGAGAAAAUAAUGGCUAAAAUCCCCACUUAUUAGCUACCCCAUUCUCUUUGUUUUAUGGCACCGAAGCUUUUAUAUCGGUCAGAGUCGGGUAGCCAAUCAUCAGAUUCCGAUAUGUGAUGAAGGAAUCGAAUGACGAGGCCAUGAAUACGAGCCUGGAGAUAUUAGAUGAACGACAUGAAGCUGCCUUUAUUCGAUUGGCUGCCCAGAAGCAAUGGUGCAAAAGGUAUUGUCACACCUCUUUUAUCUACCCCCGGAAGGGGAUAUAAGGGAGUUUUUUCCAAUUUAACUGACAAUCGAAACGUAAUUAUUUAUAUUAAAUACAGAUUCACCACUUGGCAUAAUUUAUGGUGUCCCAAGUCAUCGGUUUAAAAAUUUCGAAUCGAGAAAGAUUGACUCUGUUUUACAGUCCGCGAAACACAGAAAUCCAGGUAAGGAAUUUUGUUAACCCGGAAGAAGGUGUUUGGCAUUUCUCGGGUUCCGUAGUUUUAGCACGGUCGCUCAACUAUUAUUAUUGGCAUAUUUAUCAGAUUAAUUACACAUUUUAUACCUACGUCCAUUUUUAACUUUCUAGCCGCUUUUUAAUGUUUUUUAGGAAAAUUCAUGAUUUGUUGAAAACACAUCGUAAACCAUGCUAAAUGAAAUGCACCCACGGUUCACGACGCGUUUUAUUUUAUUUAACAAUAUUGGAAAUUAAAUUCAGAUCACAUGAAAUGUAUACCUGGAUUUUAGCAAUCACAACUACGUCACGGGAACCGUACCCGUAGUCAAAAAAAUUCAUUGUAACAUGUCUAGAGCAAACUACGAAGAUACAUUUUUAAUAUCUAAGUUGCGAUAUUUAUGAGGACCAAGGAUGAUCUAAUUAUGUAUGGCAUGCCUCAAUCCAUUUUCUCUUGAAAAGGAAUGUAUUUCGCUUCAAUAAACUAAAAAAACGUUCAGAUCUUGAUCUAAUUGAUGAGGGCCAUGGAUGAUCUAAUUUUAGAUGGGAUACCUCAAUCCAUUUUUUUUCUUUAAAGGAAUCAUAUUGAACUACAGCAGUCUUAAAAGCAGGUCUUGGAUUAUUUGAAAAUAAAUGGGCAGUAUCAAGCCCAAUACAUUAAAAGGAUCCCUUUUUAAAAGAAGUAUGACUGACGGAACUAGGCUCAGAAUCGAGCCCAAGAAUGAGGAAGGAGGUGUGGAUGGCCACAAUAGUUUUGAUUAGACCGAGCAUCAGGCCCAGCUUUUGGAGAUAAACAUGCAGUAGUCGAAAACCAUUUUUGUCAUGCUAAACAGAAGCAAUUUAAAGAAUAAACUGCUAUAAGCUAGUUGGGCUCAAAAUUGAGCCCAAAGGUGAAAAUGAGCAAACAAAUAACUAACUUAGGUCAGAAUUUGACAAGGCUGUCUCACCUGGGCCUGAAUCAAGCCCAAUUGAGACUCCUCCUCCUUCGUCUUAAUAUUUGACCCAAAGAUUACAAAUCCAGCAAAAUAAAAAGGUUAGACAUCCGUGUUAUAAGCCCAACAAUAUUAGUAGUAGCAAAAAGGGAUCAAACAUUAUUUGCGCAUAAACUAAAUUGAGCUUAAACUCAGAAUAAAGCAAGGCCAAUAACAUGCUAAUAAAGAAAAGAUCCCUGGCAUUUAAUGAAGUUCCUUAUAUCACAAUCGCCAUACUCAUAGACUGAUCUAGCAAAGAUUUACUUUCUUAAUUUAUGCAUUACCAUGGAUCUAAACCAGCCAUCAAUCUGAUAGUAUUGGCACUCAAAAUGACUCAACAUGAUAAUACACAUAUACACAUUAUGCAAUCAGCAGUUUUCCAUCACAGUUUCAAUAAUUUACAACUGAACAUCUAAACUAAUUUGAACUUCGAACAGUUAAAUGUGAAACAUACUAGAGAAUAGUAUACUAAUGUCAACACUUAAUCAAAACUGAAACCAAUGGUUACAAAACUAACAAAAUAACAGAUGCUAAACGAAAGUAGAAUAUCUAAAAGUCCAUUCAAAUUCAAACAUGUUAAAACUUUAACUUGUCAUUUCACGGGUCAUGAAGAUACCUGGAUACAGCAAAAAUAACAAAGCUUCAGCAAAAGAUAAUGAAACCAGCAUUAGGUAGUAGCAGUAGCACCAAGUUUAAUCCAUGUUCAAACCAAAAAUCAAUAAGGUAUUGACAACUCCCUUUCUUUAGAACCUAGGAGAAUUGAAAUCAGAUCUUAGUUUGAGAAUAUUCGACCCUUUUUCAGUGUUUUCCAGUUCUGAAAAUCUAUAUCAGUGUGUGUUUAAUGACUAAAAUAAUGGUACUACGUAUAGGCAUAAAAGGCCAUGUGCUAGAUAACAAAUCAGGGAAAUAUUUCCUUCAGCCUGAAAAGGCAUCUUUUAACCACCUAGGACAGCUGACUAUCCCUUAUUGGCUCAACAUUUUAUGUUAACCAAAUAGGGACAACUGCUCCCUAUUCUAGAACAUUCCUAAGGCAGCCUUAUCCUUUUUCCUUAUUUUUAUCUCUCAAACGACCCCCCCCCCUAAAAUUUCCUUAUUGUUCAUUUGACCACUAAAUAUGACUAAAAUUGCCAAAUUGAACAAACAUGAACAAAAAACCACUUGGUAAUCAAAAAGGAGCAAAACCAAAUAUUGAUUGAAUCCUAAACACCUAAAGCAAAUGAACCUAACUAAGACUAAAUCAUCAUGAACCCUACUGCAAUGAACAUCAACCACACCUAAACAACUAGUGAUUAUAGUGCCCAAAACAUAAUACUGCUGAAAAAGCAAACGACAAACAAUGAACCAAUACAACCUAAUUAAUGUAAUUAACCUAAAAUAUGCUAACUUAAACAACUAAGAACAAAAAGCUCCAUAAUAAGAACAACAAACAAUAAUGUGACAGUUAAACCUAAAUGACUAAGUAUCAUUACUGGUUAUUUAACAGAAAAAAGAAAGAAAAUAAAAGGAGAACAAAGUUGAACAAAAACCCCUAAAGAUAGUGUUCUGAAACCAUUUUUCCUUUUUUUUUUAUUUUCGUUCUUCAUGGUAUGAAUCAAAGCAAGCAUAGAAGAAUAUCAACAGCAACAAAAAUAAAAGAACCAAAGAAAAGAAAAGAAAAGACAAUUAAAUCUAUUGCCUCACAAAUCAAUCGAGAAAAAUAUAGAUGAAAAGAAACCCUAAAGACAUAUUUUAUUUGCUAACGGGAACCAAAACUUAAACAAAACAAGGAAGAAAGAGCAAAAUAAAGGAAAACCCUAAUAAUAUGAGAAAAGGGAUGUCUGACUUAGCUUUUAUUUUGUUUUGGCUUUCGAUUCUAUUAGAAACGUCCCUCAAAUAUUUUCUCCUGCCAAGAACAAACGCUUGUGAUGCAUCCAGACCCAUCGACAUAAGAGCAAACGGAAAGGAAGGGAUAUGCAACAGACCCGUAGUUUCUUAAAUCUAAGAUUUGGCUGAAUCGGACGGGAUUUGAAGGCAGUGGUUUGGGGAUUUGGAAAGGGGAGGGGACGAUGGUUAUAUGGUUAACAUUUGGGGCCAUUUGGAGAAGUUCCACAGCCGUGAGGCGAUUUCCGGCGGCAGCGGCUGUGGGGGAAAUUGGGGUGACUAAGGUUCUUCAGAUUUGGGUGUAGAGACAAAGUGGGGGGGUUUCGAAU
This 4518-nucleotide long non-coding RNA is filed under the name Nicotiana tabacum (common tobacco). RNAcentral describes it as "long non-coding RNA (NTAB_LNC004877)". Lineage: Eukaryota; Viridiplantae; Streptophyta; Magnoliopsida; Solanales; Solanaceae. The record is from RNAcentral.